Molecule: ribosomal RNA, 253 nt
Filed under: uncultured bacterium
Lineage: Bacteria
Description: partial 16S ribosomal RNA
Rfam family: Bacterial small subunit ribosomal RNA
Source: RNAcentral
UACGUAGGUGGCAAGCGUUGUCCGGAAUUAUUGGGCGUAAAGCGCGCGCAGGUGGUCCUUUAAGUCUGAUGUGAAAGCCCACGGCUCAACCGUGGAGGGUCAUUGGAAACUGGGGGACUUGAGUACAGAAGAGGAAAGUGGAAUUCCACGUGUAGCGGUGAAAUGCGUAGAGAUGUGGAGGAACACCAGUGGCGAAGGCGCCUUUCUGGUCUGUACCUGACACUGAGGCGCGAAAGCGCGGGGAGCGAACAGG